Molecule: transfer RNA, 76 nt
Filed under: Nitrospira sp.
Lineage: Bacteria; Pseudomonadati; Nitrospirota; Nitrospiria; Nitrospirales; Nitrospiraceae
Description: tRNA-Asn
Rfam family: tRNA
About the family: Transfer RNA (tRNA) molecules are approximately 80 nucleotides in length. Their secondary structure includes four short double-helical elements and three loops (D, anti-codon, and T loops).
Source: RNAcentral
UCCUCGGUAGCUCAGUUGGUAGAGCGGUCGGCUGUUAACCGAUUGGUCGCAGGUUCGAGUCCUGCCCGGGGAGCCA